Non-coding RNA from Peromyscus maniculatus bairdii (prairie deer mouse), 706 nucleotides. Lineage: Eukaryota; Metazoa; Chordata; Mammalia; Rodentia; Cricetidae. The record is from RefSeq and is a predicted model, not a curated record.
CAGGCCCCGUGGCAGUUCGCAGAGGUGGAUGGGCCCGGCAGCAGUGACAAGCAGAGGAUGUGUCUUGCUUUCUCCGAAUCCAAAAGUCACCGUAAAGCAGACAACAUGGCUUAUUUGAGAACCAAAGGCUAUGAAGAGAGGCAUUCUGGGAUACCCUGAUACUCUUGGGCCCCACCUUCUACAGCUACACCACCACUCUUCAAUAGUCUCUUCCAAAUCUGCAACCAUCAGCUAAGACAUUGAGGUCAGAGCCUUCAAGAUCCAAUCCCUGGGAAAGCCUUUGCAGAUGCAUCCAAAGCAGCCUGAAGAGCAGUCCCUCAAAUAUGCCUGCAAUUCCUGAGACCUGUGAAAGUUACCUCAUCUGGCAAAGAAAGACUUCAUGGAUGUAAUAAAGUUAUGCAUCUCUGAAUGAAGAGGACAGUUACUCUAGAUUAUUCGAUGGAACACAUGGAAUCACAAAGGUCCUUCAGAGCAGAGAGAGGAUGCAUGGACAGUAGCAGAGAUUUGAAUAGGCUGAGCUGCUGGCAUUGAAAGUGGUGGAAGCAACCAUAGGCCAUGGGUAUAAGAAAGGCAGCCCUGGGAGCCUGAAAAGAAAGUCAAUGGAUUGAUUCUCCUCUGGAGCCCUGACUCUGCUGAUGCCCUGACUUCGGGCCAGUGAGCCUGAUUUUCAACUUCUAGCUUCCAGAAGUGUAAGAGAAUAAAUCUG